Molecule: non-coding RNA, 90 nt
Organism: Mycena vulgaris
Lineage: Eukaryota; Fungi; Basidiomycota; Agaricomycetes; Agaricales; Mycenaceae
Source: the annotation of a GenBank genome assembly
AGUGGCAUGGUGUAUGGUGCACACGGGAUUCUCUUGCAGAAGUUAAAUUGUAGUGAUCCCGAGGUCCUCGUUCGGUUCGAGGUGCUGCUA